RNAcentral lists this ribosomal RNA (498 nucleotides) under uncultured bacterium. Its description in RNAcentral is "bacterial SSU rRNA". It matches the Rfam family "Bacterial small subunit ribosomal RNA", at positions 30 to 518 of the family's 1533-position model. The record is from RNAcentral.
UGAACGCUGGCGGCAGGCCUAACACAUGCAAGUCGAACGGUAGCACAGAGAGCUUGCUCUCGGGUGACGAGUGGCGGACGGGUGAGUAAUGUCUGGGAAACUGCCUGAUGGAGGGGGGAUAACUACUGGAAACGGUAGCUAAUACCGCAUAACGUCGCAAGACCAAAGAGGGGGACCUUCGGGCCUCUUGCCAUCAGAUGUGCCCAGAUGGGAUUAGCUAGUAGGUGGGGUAACGGCUCACCUAGGCGACGAUCCCUAGCUGGUCUGAGAGGAUGACCAGCCACACUGGAACUGAGACACGGUCCAGACUCCUACGGGAGGCAGCAGUGGGGAAUAUUGCACAAUGGGCGCAAGCCUGAUGCAGCCAUGCCGCGUGUAUGAAGAAGGCCUUCGGGUUGUAAAGUACUUUCAGCGGGGAGGAAGGUGUUGUGGUUAAUAACCACAGCAAUUGACGUUACCCGCAGAAGAAGCACCGGCUAACUCCGUGCCAGCCGCCGC